RNAcentral lists this ribosomal RNA (228 nucleotides) under Bacillus sp. (in: firmicutes). RNAcentral's name for it is "Bacillus sp. (in: Bacteria) partial 16S ribosomal RNA". It matches the Rfam family "Bacterial small subunit ribosomal RNA", at positions 64 to 282 of the family's 1533-position model. The record is from RNAcentral. Lineage: Bacteria; Bacillati; Bacillota; Bacilli; Caryophanales; Bacillaceae.
GAGCGGACAGAUGGGAGCUUGCUCCCUGAUGUUAGCGGCGGACGGGUGAGUAACACGUGGGUAACCUGCCUGUAAGACUGGGAUAACUCCGGGAAACCGGGGCUAAUACCGGAUGGUUGUUUGAACCGCAUGGUUCAAACAUAAAAGGUGGCUUCGGCUACCACUUACAGAUGGACCCGCGGCGCAUUAGCUAGUUGGUGAGGUAACGGCUCACCAAGGCAACGAUGC